CCAUAGCGACUAUCGUGGCAUAUCAAUAAGCGGAGGAAAAGAAACUAACAAGGAUUCCCUUAGUAACGGCGAGUGAAGCGGGAAGAGCUCAAAUUUGAAGUCUUCAAGGUUUACCUUGACGAAUUGUAGUUAUAGAAGUGUUUUCUGUUAGUAGGAGUAGUAAAAGUUCUUUGGAAUAGGACAUCAUAGAGGGUGAGAAUCCCGUAUUUGACUAUUCUUUCUAGCUUUGUGAUACACUUUCAAAGAGUCGGAUUGUUUGGGAAUGCAGUCCAAAAUGGGUGGUAAAUUUCAUCUAAAGCUAAAUAUUGGCGAGAGACCGAUAGCGAACAAGUACCGUGAGGGAAAGAUGAAAAGAACUUUGAAAAGAGAGUUAAACAGUACGUGAAAUUGUCAAAAGGGAAGCGUUUGACACCAGUGUUGUUUAGUUGAAAAUCAAUUCAAUAAUUUUUGAUUUUAAGUAGUAUUGACUUCAUCAGCUUGCUGCUUUCUUUUCAGGAAUUAUUGAAUGCACUUUUCAGUUAACAAGUCAACAUCAAUUUCUUUUGUUGUAAAAGGGUAAGAGGAAGGUGGCUUGCGCUUCGGCUCAAGUGUUUAUAGCCUUUUAUCUCUGCAAUCGGAGAGAUUGAGGUCUGCAGCGUAGAUCCUUCGGGGUUAGAUACAUUGGUGCUAAGCUAUAGCCUUGUAUAGACAACUUGUUGACUAUGCUCAGUCAUGUAGCUUACUCGCUGAUGCUAUUUUACCUACGCUUAGGAUGUUGAUAUGCAUGACUGAUAU
Molecule: ribosomal RNA, 774 nt
Filed under: uncultured Neocallimastigales
Lineage: Eukaryota; Fungi; Neocallimastigomycota; Neocallimastigomycetes; Neocallimastigales
Description: partial large subunit ribosomal RNA
Rfam family: Eukaryotic large subunit ribosomal RNA
Source: RNAcentral